RNAcentral lists this ribosomal RNA (558 nucleotides) under uncultured bacterium. RNAcentral's name for it is "partial 16S ribosomal RNA". It matches the Rfam family "Bacterial small subunit ribosomal RNA", at positions 355 to 907 of the family's 1533-position model. The record is from RNAcentral.
UGGGGAAUUUUGGACAAUGGGCGAAAGCCUGAUCCAGCAAUGCCGCGUGUGUGAAGAAGGCCUUCGGGUUGUAAAGCACUUUUGUCCGGAAAGAAAUCCUUGGCUCUAAUACAGUCGGGGGAUGACGGUACCGGAAGAAUAAGCACCGGCUAACUACGUGCCAGCAGCCGCGGUAAUACGUAGGGUGCAAGCGUUAAUCGGAAUUACUGGGCGUAAAGCGUGCGCAGGCGGUUUGCUAAGACCGAUGUGAAAUCCCCGGGCUCAACCUGGGAACUGCAUUGGUGACUGGCAGGCUAGAGUAUGGCAGAGGGGGGUAGAAUUCCACGUGUAGCAGUGAAAUGCGUAGAGAUGUGGAGGAAUACCGAUGGCGAAGGCAGCCCCCUGGGCCAAUACUGACGCUCAUGCACGAAAGCGUGGGGAGCAAACAGGAUUAGAUACCCUGGUAGUCCACGCCCUAAACGAUGUCAACUAGUUGUUGGGGAUUCAUUUCCUUAGUAACGUGCUAACGCGUGAAGUUGACCGCCUGGGGAGUACGGUCGCAAGAUUAAAACUCAAAUG